GACGAACGCUGGCGGCGUGCUUAACACAUGCGAGUCGAACGGAAAGGCCCUGCUUUUGUGGGGUGCUCGAGUGGCGAACGGGUGAGUAACACGUGAGUAACCUGCCCUUGACUUUGGGAUAACUUCAGGAAACUGGGGCUAAUACCGGAUAGGAGCUCCUGCGGCAUGGUGGGGGUUGGAAAGUUUCGGCGGUUGGGGAUGGACUCGCGGCUUAUCAGCUUGGUGGUGGGGUAGUGGCUUACCAAGGCUUUGACGGGUAGCCGGCCUGGGAGGGUGACCGGCCACAUUGGGACUGAGAUACGGCCCAGACUCCUACGGGAGGCAGCAGUGGGGAAUAUUGCACAAUGGGCGGAAGCCUGAUGCAGCAACGCCGCGUGCGGGAUGACGGCCUUCGGGUUGUAAACCGCUUUCGCCUGUGACGAAGCGUGAGUGACGGUAAUGGGUAAAGAAGCACCGGCUAACUACGUG
This 468-nucleotide ribosomal RNA is filed under the name uncultured bacterium. Its description in RNAcentral is "partial 16S ribosomal RNA". It matches the Rfam family "Bacterial small subunit ribosomal RNA", at positions 28 to 507 of the family's 1533-position model. The record is from RNAcentral.